UUAACGAUUAACGUGUAACAUCAAAACAUACCUAGCUCUGUGUGUGUCAAAACUGUAAUGACUCUUACCAGGCGCGCAGUGCAGGCUGCACUGCCUGCUUCUUCUUAUCCUUUUGACCUGAAGGACUUAAAAUUACUACAAAAGUAAUGUACCUAUCUAUGGAAUGGAACUACAGAAGUACACUGAAGGAAGGCCUCCACAGCAAGGUGAUAAAUCUUUGACUUUGACAUUUGCAAGUAGUCCUAAUAGCCACUGCAUCCUGAAUUGUAAUUAUGAGCCACCAAUAACAAAAAAGACGUCUGUGACAUGGAUCCCUAAUGUUCUCUCAGAUGGUGACGAAUAAAGAAAGAAGAACCCAGGAGUAUAAAAAAAUACUUACAUACAUACCUACCAUUGUGGUGCUGUACAUACAUACAUAGUCACACCACCAUAACAGGAUGGACUGAGCCGAGCACUACCAAGAAGACCAACUGCAGCCUCUUGUGAUGGACAUAAUGACCAGAGUGGUGACAGAUAAGCAACCCAUCACAAAUAUAAAUAUUUCUUUUUU
Pectinophora gossypiella (pink bollworm) is the source of this 550-nucleotide long non-coding RNA. RefSeq lists it as uncharacterized. NCBI's taxonomy places the organism in Eukaryota, Metazoa, Arthropoda, Insecta, Lepidoptera, Gelechiidae. The transcript is spliced from 3 exons. The record is from RefSeq and is a predicted model, not a curated record.